This 218-nucleotide unclassified non-coding RNA is filed under the name Glomus sp. RNAcentral's name for it is "partial contains 5.8S ribosomal RNA and internal transcribed spacer 2". The stretch from base 1 to 71 matches the Rfam family "5.8S ribosomal RNA", at positions 84 to 154 of the family's 154-position model. Lineage: Eukaryota; Fungi; Glomeromycota; Glomeromycetes; Glomerales; Glomeraceae. The record is from RNAcentral.
GUGAAUCAUCAAAUUUUUGAACGCAAAUUGCACUUUCUGGUAUUCCGGAGAGUAUGCCUGUUUGAGGGUCAGUUAAAUUAAAAUCGGGGUUGUUGCUACCCGUUCUUGUUUGUGAUGCAUCGGAGUUGCGUCGUUCUUUCCCUUUGGUGUACGUGACUUAAAAUUAUGUUCUAUCUUUCAACGUAUUUAAAUUAUUACUUACUUUCGUAUUACCACUU